This is a long non-coding RNA of Mauremys reevesii (Reeves's turtle), 769 nucleotides long. RefSeq lists it as uncharacterized. The transcript is spliced from 3 exons. The record is from RefSeq and is a predicted model, not a curated record. NCBI's taxonomy places the organism in Eukaryota, Metazoa, Chordata, Testudines, Geoemydidae.
CUGGUCUUCAAAAUUCUGACACUGCUCCAGGCCCUCAGGGAAAGGGGGGCUCAACGGGGAGAAGCGGCACUAGGAGCUGCCCACAGCCAGUAGAGCCUUGCAGGAGGCCCCGCUACCCCGAGAACAUCAGACUGGUUGGGACCAGAUGAAACAAGCACCUCAGAGGCGGGGGGCUCGGACCAGGCUUCCACAUGGCAGCAUGAGAGGGACUGUGGCUUAGGCUGAAAGUGGUGCAGGCACCGCAAGGAGGCCGGACGGGAAGCAGCGACAGGCACUGCCUGAGAAAGAGGAGCGGGUGGCCGGGUUGUGAGGUGGCAGGAGGGGCAAAGGCAGCUUCAAACACAAGUGGACAAGAGGAAAGGUUGAGGAAUGUCAAGCCAAGAGGAAGAAAGAAGAGAAGUCACUGAAGAUGGAGGAAAAGGAAAGGGACUCUGGGCACAGUAACUUGCCUGUAAUCAGGCCACCGGUCAUCUAAUUACACUGCAUCAUGAAGCACAAGUGGAGAAGAAGGAAGUGUCAGGAAUGCCACAGACAGAGGAGAAAAGAAGAUGGAGGAAAAGGAAAGGAACUCUGGGCACAGUACCCUCCCUCAAAUCAGCCUCAGGUCAUGUAAUUAGUCUGUAUGGGAAUCUCGAGCCUUUUAAUACCUUGAGCAGCGUGACCGCCCUGUAAGCUGGGUCCCGGUCUGUCCCCUUUGGACAUUCUGCUCCGUCAUCUGGCUAGUGUGAGUGACUGCCCUGUAAUCAGGGUGCCAGUCACCUCCCCCUAA